GACCGCUCGCGUGACCUGAGUGGUUUAGCGUCCGCCUCAAAUGCGGCAGGACUGGGUUCGAACUCCAGCCGAGUCA
Molecule: non-coding RNA, 76 nt
Organism: Potamilus streckersoni
Lineage: Eukaryota; Metazoa; Mollusca; Bivalvia; Unionida; Unionidae
Source: the annotation of a GenBank genome assembly